Chelonia mydas (Green sea turtle) is the source of this 1239-nucleotide long non-coding RNA. RefSeq lists it as uncharacterized. Lineage: Eukaryota; Metazoa; Chordata; Testudines; Cheloniidae. The record is from RefSeq and is a predicted model, not a curated record. The transcript has 3 exons.
CCCGGCCCUCUUCCCUGCUGCUGGGACUUUUCCUUUCAUAACGUGUCUCCUGUGAAGAGGCAGGCGCCAAGCCGCGGCCGGGAGCAUCCUGCCUCCCUGCUGGGCGGGCGCUGCCCGCUCUGUGAGGCGCGUGGGCGGGGACCUGCUCUCCCAGCGGGCGCAGACACCCCGCUGAGAGCCUCGUCGCCUACGUGUGUACAGCACAGACGUCACAAUGUGAGCGGACAGGUGCAUCGGACCACCCUGCCCCGUGAGCUGUAUUAACCUAGCCCUGAGGUGCACCGCAUAAGGUUACAUGAAGUGAACAUGCUGUGAGAUAAGAAUUGCUUCUCAGAAGGAGGAAAACCAACUUUUGGAUAAACCAACUGUGUGAAAUUAUCUAAUGAGAAUGAUUCCAAUGAGGGGACCUCCUCCACCACCACCCCAUCUCCCUCCUCCAUUAAGAACUUCCGUUUGCCUUUAUUACCCAUAAUAACCAUGGAGUCCCUGGCUGGAACUUGUCUUGUCCUCCCACACUGCCAACAUGAGUAAAACUUUUAUUGCCAUGCAUACCCCACUACUUCCGAACACCUCUGCUGAAAUCUUCCCCCAUGCCUUUGUUUCCUGUCACCUUGGCCGUUGCAGUUUCCUUUCUCUAGGACCCGCACUAGAUGCCAGCUGUCUAGAUUCCAGCAUGUGCACAAUGCUACCUCCAACCUUAUACAUAUAAAGAAGUGCAGCCACAUCAUGCACAUCCUAAAACACCAGCUCUUCCCUCCCUUCGUUCCAAUUCAAAAUUGUUCCCUUGUUCAUAAAACCUUUCACAGAUUUGCUUCAGCCUCUCUCAAGGGACUUGUUUCUCAGUACUUCUUGUCCCUGCCCCCUCAGCACUGGCCUCUGUCAUUCCACACACUGUUGCUACAGUUGGCCCGAGAGACCUUACCCUGCAUCUCCUGUUCUGAAACAGCUUUCAGUAUCCCUCCACGUAAAGCACUCUCCCUCUGAUGUCGAAUCUCACCUGAAAGUACAGCUUUUCUCUUGAUUUCUUCCCUUUAUUUCUGCCUCUUUUCUCCUAUCCGAUUCUAAAACUCUGUAAUUGUAUUAAGACUACCUCUCUGAAAAGCAUUUUUGAGAAGAAGUUUGUAUCAAAGCUGCUGUACAAAUAAAUAUGUUCUUUUUAUCUUUCAGAUACACACAGGAAAUAAAAUGGUAUAUUUUCCAAAUAACUAAUAACCUUGUUUCAAUUUUUUUUUAAAGUGA